RNAcentral lists this ribosomal RNA (497 nucleotides) under uncultured bacterium. Its description in RNAcentral is "partial 16S ribosomal RNA". It matches the Rfam family "Bacterial small subunit ribosomal RNA", at positions 28 to 507 of the family's 1533-position model. The record is from RNAcentral.
GACGAACGCUGGCGGCGUGCCUAAUACAUGCAAGUUGAGCGAUGAAGAUUGGUGCUUGCACCAAUUUGAAGAGCAGCGAACGGGUGAGUAACGCGUGGGGAAUCUGCCUUUGAGCGGGGGACAACAUUUGGAAACGAAUGCUAAUACCGCAUAACAACUUUAAACAUAAGUUUUAAGUUUGAAAGAUGCAAUUGCAUCACUCAAAGAUGAUCCCGCGUUGUAUUAGCUAGUUGGUGAGGUAAAGGCUCACCAAGGCGAUGAUACAUAGCCGACCUGAGAGGGUGAUCGGCCACAUUGGGACUGAGACACGGCCCAAACUCCUACGGGAGGUAGCAGUAGGGAAUCUUCGGCAAUGGACGAAAGUCUGACCGAGCAACGCCGCGUGAGUGAAGAAGGUUUUCGGAUCGUAAAACUCUGUUGGUAGAGAAGAACGGUGGUGAGAGUGGAAAGCUCAUCAAGUGACGGUAACUACCCAGAAAGGGACGGCUAACUACGUG